UAUCGGAUUGAUACUAAGCCAUGCGAGUCAUUGUAGCAAUACAAGGCAUACGGCUCAGUAACGCGUAGUCAACCUACCCUAUGGACGGGAAUAACCUCGGGAAACUGAGUAUAAUGCCCGAUAGAACACUAUUCCUGGAAUGGUUUGUGUUCCAAAUGAUUUAUCGCCGUAGGAUGGGACUGCGGCCUAUCAGUUUGUUGGUGAGGUAAUGGCCCACCAAGACUAUUACAGGUACGGGCUCUGAGAGGAGUAGCCCGGAGAUGGGUACUGAGACACGGACCCAGGCCCUAUGGGGCGCAGCAGGCGAGAAAACUUUGCAAUGUGCGAAAGCACGACAAGGUUAAUCCGAGUGGUUUGUGCUAAACGAACCUUUUGACAGUCCUAGAAACACUGUUGAAUAAGGGGUGGGCAAGUUCUGGUGUCAGCCGCCGCGGUAAAACCAGCACCUCAAGUGGUCAGGAUGAUUAUUGGGCCUAAAGCAUCCGUAGCCGGCUCUGUAAGUUUUCGGUUAAAUCUGUACGCUCAACGUACAGGCUGCCGGGAAUACUGCAAAGCUAGGGAGUGGGAGAGGUAGACGGUACUCGGUAGGAAGGGGUAAAAUCCUUUGAUCUAUUGAUGACCACCUGUGGCGAAGGCGGUCUACCAGAACACGUCCGACGGUGAGGGAUGAAAGCUGGGGGAGCAAACCGGAUUAGAUACCCGGGUAGUCCCAGCUGUAAACCAUGCAAACUCAGUGAUGCAUUGGCUUGUGGCCAAUGCAGUGCUGCAGGGAAGCCGUUAAGUUUGCCGCCUGGGAAGUACGUACGCAAGUAUGAAACUUAAAGGAAUUGGCGGGGGAGCACCACAAGGGGUGAAGCCUGCGGUUCAAUUGGAUUC
Molecule: ribosomal RNA, 876 nt
Filed under: uncultured archaeon
Lineage: Archaea
Description: bacterial SSU rRNA
Rfam family: Archaeal small subunit ribosomal RNA
Source: RNAcentral